CCUGAUGGCUCAGAGGUUAAAGCGUCUGCCUGGAAUGCAGGAGACCCAGGUUCGAUCCCUGGGUCAGGA
RNAcentral lists this transfer RNA (69 nucleotides) under Ovis aries (sheep). It matches the Rfam family "tRNA". Rfam says of the family: Transfer RNA (tRNA) molecules are approximately 80 nucleotides in length. Their secondary structure includes four short double-helical elements and three loops (D, anti-codon, and T loops). Further hydrogen bonds mediate the characteristic L-shaped molecular structure. tRNAs have two regions of fundamental functional importance: the anti-codon, which is responsible for specific mRNA codon recognition, and the 3' end, to which the tRNAs corresponding amino acid is attached (by aminoacyl-tRNA synthetases). tRNAs cope with the degeneracy of the genetic code in two manners: having more than one tRNA (with a specific anti-codon) for a particular amino acid; and 'wobble' base-pairing, i.e. permitting non-standard base-pairing at the 3rd anti-codon position. The record is from Rfam by way of RNAcentral. Lineage: Eukaryota; Metazoa; Chordata; Mammalia; Artiodactyla; Bovidae.